UAGAGGAAGUAAAAGUCGUAACAAGGUCUCCGUUGGUGAACCAGCGGAGGGAUCAUUACUGAGUUACCGCUCUAUAACCCUUUGUGAACAUACCUACAACUGUUGCUUCGGCGGGUAGGCCGUCCCCUGAAAAGGACGCCUCCCGGCCCGGACCGGACCCCCCGCGGGACCGGACCCGGCGCCCGCCGGAGGAUAACCAAACUCUAUUGUAACGACGUUUCUUCUGAGUGGCAUAAGCAAAAUAAUCAAAACUUUUAACAACGGAUCUCUUGGUUCUGGCAUCGAUGAAGAACGCAGCGAAAUGCGAUAAGUAAUGUGAAUUGCAGAAUUCAGUGAAUCAUCGAAUCUUUGAACGCACAUUGCGCCCGCCAGCAUUCUGGCGGGCAUGCCUGUUCGAGCGUCAUUUCAACCCUCAAGCUCUGCUUGGUGUUGGGGCUCUACGGUCGACGUAGGCCCUCAAAGGUAGUGGCGGACCCUCCCGGAGCCUCCUUUGCGUAGUAACAUUUCGUCUCGCACUGGGAUCCGGAGGGACUCUUGCCGUAAAACCCCCCAAUUUUCCAAAGGUUGACCUCGGAUCAGGUAGGAAUACCCGCUGAACUUAAGCAUAUC
Molecule: ribosomal RNA, 609 nt
Filed under: Colletotrichum boninense
Lineage: Eukaryota; Fungi; Ascomycota; Sordariomycetes; Glomerellales; Glomerellaceae
Description: eukaryotic LSU rRNA
Rfam family: 5.8S ribosomal RNA (bases 250-403)
Source: RNAcentral